UUUUGCCAAAUGAUUUGUUGAAAAUUGCAUUUUUGCUAUUUUAAUCUUGCCAAAAAAGGGGGCCUCACUAAUCCUAAUUAUGUACAUACAGAAUGAUGCACAUUGCUUGCAUCUUUUUAUUCCUCCCAAAGAGCAUAUCAAGGAUAUAUAUAUACAUAAUUUGUUAGUUUAACAUAAGGCGAAGAGUACCAUUUGGUUUUAAGAGUAAAUAUAGGCUGAAUUUAUUCAAGACCAAAGCAACCUAUUUAAUGAGGACAAAUGAGUGAAACCAGCUGUUUUAGAAUUUAUCUGCAGACACUGGAGUGCUCCUUUAAACGAAGAAACAGCCUCCCAUGGCAGAGGAAAAGCCAGGUCCUUACAAAGGCCUCUCCCAUCCCAGUACUUCUUCUGCCUGCUGCUCUGCCCUGGGACGUAGGCCUUCCUGCCGUUUCUAGUCACAGGCACCCUCCUGCCUCAGGGCCUUUGCACAUGCCAUUCCUUCUACCUGAACAUUCUUCCCCAGAGAGCCACAUGGUUCACCCCUCACUACCUGCCAGUCUUUGCUCCAAUGUCACCUUUCAACGAGGCCUUCCCUGACUUAUUUAAAAGGACAACACACCCCACCCUCCCUCCCUACCCACCUCUCUGCAUCUUCUUCUUGUGCACCUAUCACCAUCUGAGUGCUGCAGAUGUUAAUCAUUCAUCCAUUUAUUUGAUUCUCGCCUCCCCAUCUCCCAUAGACUGUAAGCUCCAUGUGGGCAGGAACUUUUAUAUGUCUUGCUCAUUGCUGUAUCCUGGUGCCUACAACAGUGCCUGACACAUAUUAGGCACUGGAUAAGUAUUUAUUGAAAAAAGGAAAUUAAAUCAGUAAAUUGAAAACUAUUAAGAGGCCAGAAAAUGUCAAUUUCAGCUUUCAUCAAAUCUAGGUUCUAUUAUUGUGAGAACUUUAGCUGACCCAGUGACCUGGCUCCUAUGGGUACAAGAUGGUUAGAUACACCGGGCAGCAGCGGUGGCUUCUGUUCACAGACAAGUGAAUGCCUGCCCUGCCGCUAGCCCCACCUCACAAAUAUGAGGCUCACUGUUCGCAGGGGAGCAUUUUGGAACCAGCUGGGAUGAAGACAGUUUUCUGCAGGUAGCUUUUGUAGCCAGAUGCACAGUAGUGGGUUCCCAUCACUCCAUGAGGUCACUGUAGACCUGGACCAUUCCAGAGAAUCCUUUGUAAUCAGUCUUUAGGUGUCUCCCAGUCCUUCCCAGUUCAACACGGGUGGCAGCAGAUGGCCCAGCCCAGGGAAAGUCCACCUGACCAUUAGAAGGACUCAUCCUCCAGCCACCAAAGCAAGGCUGCAGAGGAAGAGGAGCUUGUCACAAACAUUAACCGGCUCAGGGCUGGGUAACUGCAUUGACAAAUUUGGAAGCAGCAGGGCCAGAGAGCCAAGGCCCCCGGGUAUCCCCAUUGGCCACUGGUGGAGGUGCACUGGAAGGUCAGGGCCUUGACACCACAGAGCCAAGCAACACACACCUCCUUGGGCCCAGGCCCCAGCACGGUGGCCCUCCAGUGCUGGCAGGUGGCCUCACCCACAGCAGGGGAGGCGUGGGUCCUCCAAUGACCUUCCUGCCCCUGCCAGAUGAUUUUCACAACUACCUAACUUUGGUGUUUACUUCUAGGUCCUUUGGCCAAAUGCGUUUUCUUCUAAGAGUUGUUGGCAAAAUACUGUUACAAGCUUCUUAUGGGACUUUUGUCCUACUGUGGCCUGGUUAAAGGCUUUGUCCUCCUGUUUAAUCCACUUCCGUGGUUUUGCUGUCAUUUCUCUUGAUGCCAUAUUUUCAGGUCCCUCGUGGGAGGGGGCAUAAGGUCUCCAUCGUGAUGCCCUCUCUGCAGCUGUCCAGCCAGCAGUGAGUGGGCCCACACAUGUGCAUUCCUGUGCUUGAAUUGCCAAAUAAACAGUGUCCCUUUCAUUGCUGCCCAAACAGACUGGAAGCCUGCUCCUGCCAGCACUCAGGGAGGGAGUGUGUGCUUCCCAAGAGCCUGCCCCCUUGGCCCAUGCAAACUUUCUCCAUGGCAGGUGUCCGUGAAGGUCUCCCAGGCCCUAUGGGCUGUCCAGCUCUUUGCACACAUUCUUCCCGCUUGCAGGAAUGGAAUCCAAACACCUGAUACGGAAUGAUGACUUGGCAGUGGGGAGUGGGGCAGCUUGUCUCCGCUAACUUAGGACCAAAACUAGGAAACUCACCAUGAGCAUGUGUUGGAGAUCAGCUGUGGCCUCCAGCCCCUGUACACACAGAGGCAAGCCCCACCUCUGACAGAGCCAGUCACCGUUCAGUAGGAGCUUGUCUUCCCUGGGCCCCCAGGUGGGAAAGGCUGGGCUCUUAGUCCUACAAGUAAAGGCGCUGUUAGGAGCAAGGAGCAGGCUUAGCUGGGUCCACAGAGGGACUAAGCUCCUUAGUGACCUGUUACUGCCUCAUCUACGGAGUUUGAACUCCAUUCACCAUCACCUUUGAGAAUUUGGCCUUGUUUUAACUAAGGAUUGUUGAAGUUAAUUAUAACAAGGGACCAUCCUCACCCUGUGUUUGCUUUGUUCCAUUAAACGUGCGUUUGGCCUAAUGAAGUCAGUGAAUGUUCCUCUUUUUUCUUUUUUGGUUUCUUUGACUGAUUUUUGGAUGAUAUAUGUUGCUUUAUUUCUCCCAUUUUCUUUGAUUACUGUGGACAAAGGAAAACACUGAGGCAAAAGUAGGUCGUCAAUCACAUUACUUUGACCCAGUUGUGCAGAACCCCUUUCUACCUGCAGGUGUUAAUUCCAAUUCAAUGCAAAUAUCCUUUUCAAUCCGGUCCAUUCUUGGAGAAGAAACCCAUUGUAAGAGCUGUCUUCUGUGGUUGGGAUAUUACUUUGUAAAGUAUUAAAGCACUAAACCAGUUUUUGCAAUAUGUAGUAAAUCUUGCUUUCAUUUUGGAAAACUUCCAGUAAUGACUACUGCACUUUUUAUAGAAGAAUUGUAUUUAAUUUCUUUCUUUUAUGAAAGAUUAUUUCAAGUAAAAAUAGCUCUGUAAUCUGUGUGACAUGGCUUCUCCAUUACCUGACACAGAGAGAAGCUUUGAUGCCUACUCAAUAAAAUUAACAUGUUUGU
Molecule: long non-coding RNA, 3099 nt
Filed under: Homo sapiens (human)
Lineage: Eukaryota; Metazoa; Chordata; Mammalia; Primates; Hominidae
Description: non-protein coding lnc-TRPM1-4:1
Source: RNAcentral